Lingula anatina is the source of this 544-nucleotide long non-coding RNA. The record is from RefSeq and is a predicted model, not a curated record. Lineage: Eukaryota; Metazoa; Brachiopoda; Lingulata; Lingulida; Lingulidae.
UUUAUUCUCGCCUGGUAGACGCCAACUUGAACAUGUGCUUCAAGUUUCAAAGAUUUCACCAAGGUUUAAGAAUUUGACCAGAAGUGGACCAAAACAUAGCGAGUGUUGGUUGUUUACAUCUGUGGGACAGACCUCAGCCUUUGAUAAACGAAAUACCAAGCAAAAUAACAACAGCUUGAUAUGAAUGAAAGCUGAAUAGGAAUCCAUUUAGCUGUGCAACACCUGUUUUGGAAUACAAAGCACAACAUGAUUCUUAAAUAGGAGUUCAACGGUCACCAGAACAUGUGUUACAACAUAUUUGAUGCCACUGAUGGACAUGAUUCUAAUGAACCAGCAUUGGAGGAGGAGACAUGACAGCUAUACCCGCAGUUUGCUACUGUGGUCCUCUGAAAUAGAAGUCUAGACUGUCCCUCUGUUAUUUUAUCUGAAGAGAUGGAAGGGAAUGGUGGAAAUCUCUGACAAGUGAGGAUGAAAAUGCAAGCAACGGUGGUCAUGGUGACAAAAAUGGCAGAAGAGACCAAAGAUUUGGAAGAAGUGAUAAGAG